AUGACAUAUUUUUAUUUUAUUUUAUAUAUGCUCACCGUAUCCCCGAAUGACUGUAUUUGGAAAAUGCCGUAUCCCGUAUCCCUGUAUGCGUAUCCCCAACUUUCCGUCCCCGUGUCCGUGCUUUUUAGCCUAUGGGUAACAAUGAAAGAAUACUACUGCUAUAAAUUCCAUACACGACCAGGCAUAUUCAACCCAAUUUUGCAUGGCGGACGCCUUUUCCAGCAGUUUGCUGUAGAUACAUACAACAAGAUUGAAAGCUCCAGACUGGAUUACAUCUGGCAUAAUCAAAAGAAAAUAAGGGCUGACCUAUACCAAGGCCUUCUAGACAGCAUUCAAGCUGGAGAACAGAAUGGAGAUGCUGUCGGAAAACAGAGAGUACUUGCCUCGUCAUUUAUUGGAAGACCACGAGAUAAACUUCGUCGAUAUCUCGACGCUAUGGCUUUAGUUAGAAAAUAUGGUAAGCCAGACGUAUUCCUAACAAUGACCUGCAACCCCAACUGGGAGGAGAUAACACAUGAACUAGAGAAUGGACAAACAGCACAAGAUCGCCCAGACAUUGUAGUUCGUGUUUUCAGGGCGAAGCUACAAGAAAUGAAGAAGGAACUAUUUGAGAAGGGCAUUCUUGGAAAGGUUCAGGCAUAUACAUAUGUCGUAGAGUUCCAAAAGAGGGGAUUACCCCAUGCUCACUUUUUGCUCAUCAUGACUCGAAAAUACAAGUACACAUGUCCAGAGCAGUAUGACAGAAUCAUAUCCGCAGAGCUCCCUAACAAGCACAAGUACCCAGAACUAUACAAGAUGGUAAUCAAACAUAUGAUGCAUGGUCCUUGCGGUGCAUUGAACAAAUUUUGUCCAUGCUCAAAGAAUCGUCCAUCAUGCAAGAACAAUUAUCCAAGACCAUUUAACGAAACUACGAUUCAAGGCAAGGACUACCCAAUAUAUAGGAGACGCAACGAUGGCCGGACUGAAACGGUCCGAAAUUGCAAACUAGAUAACAUGUGGGUAGUUCCUUACAAUCCCUAUCUGUUAAGGAUGUUCAACUGCCACAUAAAUGUUGAGAUAUGCUCAAGCAUUAAAGCCGUGAAAUACCUCUUCAAGUACAUCUACAAGGGUCAUGACCGAGCAUCCGUAUCCGUAACAGACAAAGUAGACGAAGAAGAAAUCGACGAGAUUAAGCAGUACAGAGACGCCCACUAG
This 1194-nucleotide ribosomal RNA is filed under the name Triticum aestivum (bread wheat). Its description in RNAcentral is "partial small subunit ribosomal RNA". The record is from RNAcentral. Lineage: Eukaryota; Viridiplantae; Streptophyta; Magnoliopsida; Poales; Poaceae.